AGUGAACGCUGGCGGUAGGCCUAACACAUGCAAGUCGAACGGCAGCACAGUAAGAGCUUGCUCUUACGGGUGGCGAGUGGCGGACGGGUGAGGAAUACAUCGGAAUCUACUUUUUCGUGGGGGAUAACGUAGGGAAACUUACGCUAAUACCGCAUACGACCUACGGGUGAAAGCAGGGGAUCUUCGGACCUUGCGCGAUUGAAUGAGCCGAUGUCGGUUUAGUUAGUUGGCGGGGUAAAGGCCCACCAAGGCGACGAUCCGUAGCUGGUCUGAGAGGAUGAUCAGCCACACUGGAACUGAGACACGGUCCAGACUCCUACGGGAGGCAGCAGUGGGGAAUAUUGGACAAUGGGCGCAAGCCUGAUCCAGCCAUACCGCGUGGGUGAAGAAGGCCUUCGGGUUGUAAAGCCCUUUUGUUGGGAAAGAAAAGCAGCAGGUUAAUACCCCGCUGUUCUGACGGUACCCAAAGAAUAAGCACCGGCUAACUUCGUG
Molecule: ribosomal RNA, 492 nt
Filed under: uncultured bacterium
Lineage: Bacteria
Description: partial 16S ribosomal RNA
Rfam family: Bacterial small subunit ribosomal RNA
Source: RNAcentral